UACGUAGGGGGCAAGCGUUGUCCGGAAUCAUUGGGCGUAAAGAGCGUGUAGGCGGUUCGGUAAGUCGGCUGUGAAAUCCCAGGGCUCAACCCUGGAACUGCCUUUGAUACUGACGGUCUGGAGAUCGGGAGAGGUUGGUGGAAUUCCGAGUGUAGAGGUGAAAUUCGUAGAUAUUCGGAGGAACACCAGAAGCGAAGGCGGCCAACUGGCCCGAUUCUGACGCUCAGGCACGAAAGCGUGGGGAGCAAACAGG
RNAcentral lists this ribosomal RNA (253 nucleotides) under uncultured bacterium. RNAcentral's name for it is "partial 16S ribosomal RNA". It matches the Rfam family "Bacterial small subunit ribosomal RNA", at positions 524 to 776 of the family's 1533-position model. The record is from RNAcentral.